CCCUUAGAUGAUUUGGGCUGCACGCGCGCUACACUGACAUGUUCAACAAGCCUCCUAGUUCGACAGGAUUUGGGAAAUCUUUGAACGCAUGUCGUGAUAGGGAUAGAUCAUUGCAAUUAUUGAUCUUGAACGAGGAAUUCCUAGUAAACGCGAGUCAUCAGCUCGCAUUGAUUACGUCCCUGCCCUUUGUACACACCGCCCGUCGCACCUACCGAUUGAAUGUUUCGGUGAAGAUUCCGGAUAGGGCUUUUUUGAUUUAUUUCAAUUUUGUCUUAAAAGCUAUCUAAACCUCAACAUUUAGAGGAAGGUGAAGUCGUAACA
This 321-nucleotide ribosomal RNA is filed under the name uncultured eukaryote. RNAcentral's name for it is "partial 18S ribosomal RNA". It matches the Rfam family "Eukaryotic small subunit ribosomal RNA", at positions 1470 to 1796 of the family's 1831-position model. The record is from RNAcentral.